Prunus avium (sweet cherry) is the source of this 109-nucleotide non-coding RNA. The record is from RefSeq and is a predicted model, not a curated record. Lineage: Eukaryota; Viridiplantae; Streptophyta; Magnoliopsida; Rosales; Rosaceae.
CUCUACUGGUGCUUGAACCCAAAGGACUACGAGGAUGAUUAACAACUUAGUAAGAUUGCUUAUGUAAUGACAAAAAAGUUGGGGUAAAGAAUUAGGCCAAGUACAAGAC